UGCUAAGGCCGAUGGCGACCGGCGCACGGGUGAGUAACACGUAUCCAACCUGCCGUCUACUCUUGGACAGCCUUCUGAAAGGAAGAUUAAUACAAGAUGGCAUCAUGAGUUCACAUGUUCACAUGAUUAAAGGUAUUCCGGUAGACGAUGGGGAUGCGUUCCAUUAGAUAGUAGGCGGGGUAACGGCCCACCUAGUCUUCGAUGGAUAGGGGUUCUGAGAGGAAGGUCCCCCACAUUGGAACUGAGACACGGUCCAAACUCCUACGGGAGGCAGCAGUGAGGAAUAUUGGUCAAUGGGCGAGAGCCUGAACCAGCCAAGUAGCGUGAAGGAUGACUGCCCUAUGGGUUGUAAACUUCUUUUAUAAAGGAAUAAAGUCGGGUAUGGAUACCCGUUUGCAUGUACUUUAUGAAUAAGGAUCGGCUAACUCCGUGCCAGCAGCCGCGGUAAUACGGAGGAUCCGAGCGUUAUCCGGAUUUAUUGGGUUUAAAGGGAGCGUAGAUGGAUGUUUAAGUCAGUUGUGAAAGUUUGCGGCUCAACCGUAAAAUUGCAGUUGAUACUGGAUAUCUUGAGUGCAGUUGAGGCAGGCGGAAUUCGUGGUGUAGCGGUGAAAUGCUUAGAUAUCACGAAGAACUCCGAUUGCGAAGGCAGCCUGCUAAGCUGCAACUGACAUUGAGGCUCGAAAGUGUGGGUAUCAAACAGGAUUAGAUACCCUGGUAGUCCACACGG
Molecule: ribosomal RNA, 727 nt
Filed under: uncultured bacterium
Lineage: Bacteria
Description: bacterial SSU rRNA
Rfam family: Bacterial small subunit ribosomal RNA
Source: RNAcentral